This 429-nucleotide ribosomal RNA is filed under the name Chloroflexota bacterium. RNAcentral's name for it is "Chloroflexi bacterium partial 16S ribosomal RNA". It matches the Rfam family "Bacterial small subunit ribosomal RNA", at positions 355 to 776 of the family's 1533-position model. Lineage: Bacteria; Bacillati; Chloroflexota. The record is from RNAcentral.
UGGGGAAUAUUGCACAAUGGGCGCAAGCCUGAUGCAGCCAUGCCGCGUGUGUGAAGAAGGCCUUCGGGUUGUAAAGCACUUUCAGCGGGGAGGAAGGCGAUAAGGUUAAUAACCUUGUCGAUUGACGUUACCCGCAGAAGAAGCACCGGCUAACUCCGUGCCAGCAGCCGCGGUAAUACGGAGAGUGCAAGCGUUAAUCGGAAUUACUGGGCGUAAAGCGCACGCAGGCGGUCUGUCAAGUCGGAUGUGAAAUCCCCGGGCUCAACCUGGGAACUGCAUUCGAAACUGGCAGGCUAGAGUCUUGUAGAGGGGGGUAGAAUUCCAGGUGUAGCGGUGAAAUGCGUAGAGAUCUGGAGGAAUACCGGUGGCGAAGGCGGCCCCCUGGACGAAGACUGACGCUCAGGUGCGAAAGCGUGGGGAGCAAACAGG